GACGAACGCUGGCGGCGUGCCUAAUACAUGCAAGUAGAACGCUGAAGGAGGAGCUUGCUUCUCUGGAUGAGUUGCGAACGGGUGAGUAACGCGUAGGUAACCUGCCUGGUAGCGGGGGAUAACUAUUGGAAACGAUAGCUAAUACCGCAUAAGAUUGACUAUUGCAUGAUAGUCAGUUAAAAGGUGCAAUUGCAUCACUACCAGAUGGACCUGCGUUGUAUUAGCUAGUUGGUGGGGUAACGGCUCACCAAGGCGACGAUACAUAGCCGACCUGAGAGGGUGAUCGGCCACACUGGGACUGAGACACGGCCCAGACUCCUACGGGAGGCAGCAGUAGGGAAUCUUCGGCAAUGGACGGAAGUCUGACCGAGCAACGCCGCGUGAGUGAAGAAGGUUGUCGGAUCGUAAAGCUCUGUUGUAAGAGAAGAACGAGUGUGAGAGUGGAAAGUUCACACUGUGACGGUAUCUUACCAGAAAGGGACGGCUAACUACGUG
Molecule: ribosomal RNA, 495 nt
Filed under: uncultured bacterium
Lineage: Bacteria
Description: partial 16S ribosomal RNA
Rfam family: Bacterial small subunit ribosomal RNA
Source: RNAcentral